AGAUAAUAGAUACCCAGGUAGUCCACGCCGUAAACGAUGAAUACUAGGUGUAGGGGUUGUCAUGACCUCUGUGCCGCCGCUAACGCAUUAAGUAUUCCGCCUGGGGAGUACGGUCGCAAGAUUAAAACUCAAAGGAAUUGACGGGGGCCCGCACAAGCAGCGGAGCAUGUGGUUUAAUUUCGAAGCACGCGAAGAACCUUACCUAGACUUGACAUCUCCUGAAUUACCCUUAACUCGGGGAAGCCCUUCGGGUCGAGGAAGACAGGUGGUGCAUGGUUGUCGUCAGCUCGUGUCGUGAGAUGUUGGGUUAAGUCCCGCAACGAGCGCAACCCUUACUUGUUAGUUGUCUACCAUUUAGUUGAGCACUCUAGCGAGACUGCCCGGGUUAACCGGGUAGGAAGGUGGGGAUGACGUCAAAUCAUCAUGCCCCUUAUGUCUAGGGCUAUACACGUGCUACAAUGGCUGGUACAGAGAGAUGCUAAACCGCGAGGUGGAGCCAAACUUUAAACCAGUCUCAGUUCGGAUUGUAGGCUGAAACUCGCCUAC
This 546-nucleotide ribosomal RNA is filed under the name uncultured bacterium. RNAcentral describes it as "bacterial SSU rRNA". It matches the Rfam family "Bacterial small subunit ribosomal RNA", at positions 775 to 1319 of the family's 1533-position model. The record is from RNAcentral.